AACGUUCUUUCUUUUUCCGGUCCGCCAUUGAACCUCGUGUUUCUUGGCUGUCAAAAAACUUAAAUUAACAUCAUGGGAGCUUAUAAAUACAUCCAAGAACUAUUCAGAAAGAAGCAAUGCGAUGUUAUGAGAUUUCUAAUCCGUAUAAGAACUUGGCAUUACCGACAAUUGUCCGCAAUUCACCGUGCGCCAAGAUCAACUAGACCGGACAAGGCUAGACGUCUUGGAUAUCGGUCUAAGCAAGGAUACGUCAUUUACCGUGUACGUGUACGUCGUGGUGGAAGGAAACGUCAAGCCCGUAAAGGUGCCACUUACGGUAAACCAACAAACCAGGGUGUAAACCAGUUGAAGAAUCAACGCGGACACCAAGCAAUUGCUGAGGAGAAAGUCGGACGACACUGUAAGGCUCUCAGAGUCUUGAACUCCUAUUGGGUUGGUCAAGAUUCGACUUACAAAUACUUCGAAGUUAUUCUUGUUGAUCCCUUCCAUACAACUAUUAGAAGAGAUGCCAAGAUUAACUGGAUUUGCAAACCUGUCAUGAAACAUCGUGAAAUGAGAGGAUUAACCUCAGCCGGCAAAUCAUCCAGAGGUCUUGGAAAGGGUCACGGUUACUCCAAAACUACUGGUGGUUCUAGAUUCGCUUCAUGGAAGAGGCGCAACUUGCAACAAAUGCGCCGUAAACGUUAGAGAAUGCCGUGUUGUUUCAAUACAGAUAAGAUGUUCGAUUGUGUUGAAUGAAACUCAUUACGUGUAGUUAAUUAGUUUGAUUUAAACAAUUAAGUCAAUGAUCAAAUUUAUGAAAGCUCAACACGUGUUCAAUAUGGGGAAAAGAAAAGAAUAUUUCCUCGAUCAGGUCAUAUAUUAUUAUUUAUAGGCCAAUAGCACAUGAUUACUCAAAAACUUUUUUAUUUCAAUUUAAAAAAAAUCAAGCAUCAAAUUUUUAUCUAGAAGUAUCUACCAAGUAGUCUUUCAAUAAACAAGUGAAGAGCUUCAGCGAACACGAUAUUAGGAAGUUGCCUAGCAUUUUCAAUCGCUUUAAGAGUAUGUUCUUUUGCUAAAUCCCUAGUCUUUUGAAUUCCGUCAUAUUUUUCUAUCAAUUCUAGUGCAUUUUCGAUGUCUCCAUCUUGCGAAUAUCUUCUUUGAAUUAUCACUUGUAGUUUCGCACUGUCUCUAGCUGCCAGUAAAGCGGGAGCAGUGGCUAAUCCUAAUUUCAUGUCUGCCACUGCAGGUUUACCCAACUUUUCCUCGGUGCUCACGAGAUCCAACAAAUCAUCAACCAAUUGAUAGGCUAAGCCGACAUGUUUUCCUAUGUUUCUUGCGUUCUCUACUAAUUGAUCGUUACAUUUUGCUAAUACUGCAACUGCAGCACAUGCAUUUGUAGUCAAGCUGGCAGUUUUCGCAAAGGUUUUGUCCAUAUAUAAUGAAAAUUGUUCUUUUAAAUUUGCACCUUGUUUUUGUUGACUUAACUCUCCUCUAACGAUAUCAUUCAUUGCUUGGGAAAGUAGUUUUAUAACUCUUGGAUUUCUUAAACGGGCUAAUAACUGGGAAGAUACACUAAUCAUGUAGUCGGCAACAAAUGUUGUUAAAGUGUCACCAAAGACUAAGUGGGAUGAUGGCUUUUUUCUUCGUAAUUCUGCAUUAUCAACAAUGUCAUCGUGAACCAAGGAAGCUGUAUGAAUCACUUCUGCUAUCAUUGCUAUCGUUUUUUGAUCAGACGAAGGAAGAGAAUUUUCAAAACAAGCCCCUGCAGUCAAUAAAACUAACUGGGGUCUAAUUAACUUUCCCGAGCCAUCACAAACAUAUGUACAACAUUCUAAAGUUUUCUGAUGUCCUCCUGAUUCUACCAAAGCGUUUUGUAACCUUUUUGUACAUAACUCUUGAGCCUCUGUUCGCGACCAUGUGAUAAGUUCUUCUGGAGUAUACUCAGUUGGAAGAUGCUGUUAUAUAUAUAUAUAUAUAUGUAUAUACAAGCACUGAAACUUGCGUUACGCCUUACAAAUUUUAAUUUAAAAAAAAAACUUAAAAGUUUGUAAUCUAUAUUAAAAUUGAAUCUGAUGAAAUCACAUGUUCGAAAAAGUAUUUUCUAUUUACCUGCUGUAUAUGCUUUUGCCACUUAUUACACGCAAAGGCAAGGCACAGUUCACGUCGUUUUGUUGCAUUAUUAAUAAGUUUUGGAGCAAACAGGGGUUGAAAACCAUUUAUUUUUUCACAUGAUCUCAAAAUAACCUUCAAGGAUUGCUUGCCGAUGGACAUCGCCAUUUUUUUGAACUGGGUGUUGCUAAGUUCUGAUAUCAGUUGUCGAUUGCAAAUGAAAAAGUUUUAGCGAUGUCACUAAAUUCAACUUUUUAUUAUUUUAUUAUACUAUAAAUUAUAGAGGUCAUUUAGGAAUAAAAUAGAAUUUAUUUCUUAUUUCUCAAAUAUCAAAA
Molecule: unclassified non-coding RNA, 2426 nt
Filed under: Dimorphilus gyrociliatus
Lineage: Eukaryota; Metazoa; Annelida; Polychaeta; Dinophilidae
Description: ribosomal protein L15
Source: RNAcentral